This 448-nucleotide ribosomal RNA is filed under the name uncultured Acidovorax sp. RNAcentral's name for it is "bacterial SSU rRNA". It matches the Rfam family "Bacterial small subunit ribosomal RNA", at positions 936 to 1382 of the family's 1533-position model. The record is from RNAcentral. Lineage: Bacteria; Pseudomonadati; Pseudomonadota; Betaproteobacteria; Burkholderiales; Comamonadaceae.
AGCAUGUGGUUAAUUCGACGCAACGCGAAAAACCUUACCUGGGCUUGACAUGGAGAGAAUCUCCCUGGAAACAGGAGAGUGCCUCGCAAGAGGAGCUCUCACACAGGUGCUGCAUGGCUGUCGUCAGCUCGUGCCGUGAGGUGUUGGGUUAAGUCCCGCAACGAGCGCAACCCCAUCCCCAGUUGCCAUCAUUAAGUUGGGCACUCUGAGGAAACUGCCCGGGUUAACCGGGAGGAAGGCGGGGAUGACGUCAAGUCCUCAUGGCCCUUAUAGGUGGGGCUACACACGUCAUACAAUGGAUGGUACAAAGGGUCGCCAACCCGCGAGGGGGAGCCAAUCCCAUAAAGCCAUUCGUAGUCCGGAUCGCAGUCUGCAACUCGACUGCGUGAAGUCGGAAUCGCUAGUAAUCGUGGAUCAGAAUGUCACGGUGAAUACGUUCCCGGGUCUU